CCUACGGGAGGCAGCAGUAGGGAAUCUUCCACAAUGGGCGAAAGCCUGAUGGAGCAACGCCGCGUGGGUGAAGAAGGCCUUCGGAUCGUAAAACCCUGUUGUUAGAGAAGAAAGUGCGUGAGAGUAACUGUUCACGUUUCGACGGUAUCUAACCAGAAAGCCACGGCUAACUACGUGCCAGCAGCCGCGGUAAUACGUAGGUGGCAAGCGUUAUCCGGAUUUAUUGGGCGUAAAGGGAACGCGGGCGGUCUUUUAAGUCUGAUGUGAAAUCCCUCGGCUUAACCGGGGUAGUGCAUUGGAAACUGGGAGACUUGAGUGCAGAAGAGGGGAGUGGAACUCCAGGUGUAGCGGUGAAAUGCGUAGAUAUAUGGAAGAACACCAGUGGCGAAGGCGGCUCUCUGGUCUGUAACUGACGCUGAGGUGCGAAAGCGUGGGUAGCAAACAGGAUUAGAUACCCGAGUAGUC
This 465-nucleotide ribosomal RNA is filed under the name uncultured bacterium. Its description in RNAcentral is "partial 16S ribosomal RNA". It matches the Rfam family "Bacterial small subunit ribosomal RNA", at positions 338 to 795 of the family's 1533-position model. The record is from RNAcentral.